Molecule: ribosomal RNA, 506 nt
Filed under: uncultured bacterium
Lineage: Bacteria
Description: partial 16S ribosomal RNA
Rfam family: Bacterial small subunit ribosomal RNA
Source: RNAcentral
AGUGAACGCUGGCGGUAGGCCUAACACAUGCAAGUCGAACGGCAGCACAGGAGAGCUUGCUCUCUGGGUGGCGAGUGGCGGACGGGUGAGGAAUACAUCGGAAUCUACUCUGUCGUGGGGGAUAACGUAGGGAAACUUACGCUAAUACCGCAUACGACCUACGGGUGAAAGCAGGGGACCUUCGGGCCUUGCGCGAUUGAAUGAGCCGAUGUCGGAUUAGCUAGUUGGCGGGGUAAAGGCCCACCAAGGCGACGAUCCGUAGCUGGUCUGAGCAGAUGAUCAGCCACACUGGAACUGAGACACGGUCAAGACUCCUACGGGAGGUAGCAGUGGGGAAUAUUGGACAAAGGGCGCAAGCCUGAUCCAACCAUACCGCGUGGGUGAAGAAGGCCUUCGGGUUGUAAAGCCCUUUUGUUGGGAAAGAAAUCCAGCUGGCUAAUACCCGGUUGGGAUGACGGUACCCAAAGAAUAAGCACCGGCUAACUUCGUGCCAGCAGCCGCCGUAA